This 198-nucleotide ribosomal RNA is filed under the name uncultured bacterium. Its description in RNAcentral is "partial 16S ribosomal RNA". It matches the Rfam family "Bacterial small subunit ribosomal RNA", at positions 328 to 539 of the family's 1533-position model. The record is from RNAcentral.
ACGCUCGACACCUACUGGAGGCAGCAGUGGGGAAUAUUGCACAAUGGAGGAAACUCUGAUGCAGCGAUGCCGCGUGAGGGAAGAAGGUUUUCGGAUUGUAAACCUCUGUCUUUGGGGACGAUAAUGACGGUACCCAAGGAGGAAGCUCCGGCUAACUACGUGCCGGCAGCCGCGGUAAUCUGAGCGGGCUGGCAAGGC